RNAcentral lists this ribosomal RNA (506 nucleotides) under uncultured bacterium. RNAcentral's name for it is "partial 16S ribosomal RNA". It matches the Rfam family "Bacterial small subunit ribosomal RNA", at positions 29 to 523 of the family's 1533-position model. The record is from RNAcentral.
AGUGAACGCUGGCGGUAGGCCUAACACAUGCAAGUCGAACGGCAGCACAGGAGAGCUUGCUCUCUGGGUGGCGAGUGGCGGACGGGUGAGGAAUACAUCGGAAUCUACUUUUUCGUGGGGGAUAACGUAGGGAAACUUACGCUAAUACCGCAUACGACCUACGGGUGAAAGCAGGGGACCUUCGGGCCUUGCGCGAUUGAAUGCGCCGAUGUCGGAUUAGCUAGUUGGCGGGGUAAAGGCCCACCAAGGCGACGAUCCGUAGCUGGUCUGAGAGGAUGAUCGGCCACACUGGAACUGAGACACGGUCCAGACUCCUACGGGAGGCAGCAGUGGGGAAUAUUGGACAAUGGGCGCAAGCCUGAUCCAGCCAUACCGCGUGGGUGAAGAAGGCCUUCGGGUUGUAAAGCCCUUUUGUUGGGAAAGAAAUCCAGCUGGCUAAUACCCGGUUGGGAUGACGGUACCCAGAGAAUAAGCACCGGCUAACUUCGUGCCAGCCGCCGCAGUAA